CCUAUGGAGUGUUAUAUCAAACGAAAGUAGCCAAGAUCAUGGUCAAAUCGGAUACGUCGAAAUAGGAA
RNAcentral lists this non-coding RNA (68 nucleotides) under unclassified sequences. RNAcentral's name for it is "RAGATH-18 RNA". It matches the Rfam family "RAGATH-18 RNA". Rfam says of the family: Actinobacteria, Firmicutes, Fusobacteria, Thermotogae (1 example). Nearby to self-cleaving ribozyme genes The record is from Rfam by way of RNAcentral.